CACGUAGGCGGAUUCUUAAGUCAGGGGUGAAAUCCCGGAGCUCAACUCCGGAACUGCCUUUGAUACUGAGAGUCUCGAGUCCGGGGGAGGUGAGUGGAACUCCGAGUGUAGAGGUGAAAUUCGUAGAUAUUCGGAAGAACACCAGUGGCGAAGGCGGCUCACUGGCCCGGUACUGACGCUGAGGUGCGAAAGCGUGGGGAGCAAACA
RNAcentral lists this ribosomal RNA (207 nucleotides) under uncultured bacterium. RNAcentral describes it as "partial 16S ribosomal RNA". It matches the Rfam family "Bacterial small subunit ribosomal RNA", at positions 568 to 774 of the family's 1533-position model. The record is from RNAcentral.